This is a long non-coding RNA of Stylophora pistillata, 603 nucleotides long. The record is from RefSeq and is a predicted model, not a curated record. NCBI's taxonomy places the organism in Eukaryota, Metazoa, Cnidaria, Anthozoa, Scleractinia, Pocilloporidae.
AAGUACAAUUCCUUUCACCUUCUUAUUGUGGUUGCAAAUUUCGCAUGGAAGCAGAUGUUCAGUUUCUGCAGCGAUUAGAACUUGUUGUAGGAUGUUGGUAGAAAUCGAUCAAAGAAACCAUAAUAUUAUCUGCGCAUAUCAAGCUCCACUGCAUAAUAGAGGGACACGAGGAAGACCUUCCUACGAAAUCAGCGAGGAACAGCUUCAUUUUUUACUUCAGCGAGGGUUUAAAGUAUGUGACAUUAGUAAAAUUCUUGGGGUGAGUGUCAGGACGGUUGAGAGGAGAAUGUCAACAUUUGGGUUGAGUGUAUCAGGUAUGUUUAGUCCUAUAGAAGACAGCCAAUUGGAUGAGCUCGUUCGAACUGCUUCAAGCCAGCAUCCUGGAAUGGGUUUACGAAUGCUCAAAGGUUAUUUACAGAGCAAAGGGUUUCGUAUCCAGUGAGAAAGAAUAAGAUUAUCCCUAUUGCGAACAGAUCCCAUUGGUAUCAUGGAGAGAUGGAAAAGUACCACCAGGAGGCGAAAUUACAAUGUUAGGUAUCCACUCUCACUCUGGCACAUAGAUGGGAACCAUAAGUUGAUAAGGUACUGAUAAAAAUACCUGUU